GACACCGUUCCACCAU
This 16-nucleotide microRNA is filed under the name Corchorus capsularis. RNAcentral describes it as "sRNA CCACVL1_00514". The record is from RNAcentral. Lineage: Eukaryota; Viridiplantae; Streptophyta; Magnoliopsida; Malvales; Malvaceae.